AUGGUCGGCGCCCGAACAGGGACUGUG
Molecule: unclassified non-coding RNA, 27 nt
Filed under: synthetic construct
Source: RNAcentral